GUUAAAAAGCUCGUAGUUGGAUCAGAGUUGGACAGUGCACGGUGGCCCCAUUUGUGUGGCUGGCUCCGGUCAGUUACACGGUGGCGGAACAACCCCGUGCGCCAAACUGUCCACUCUAACAGACCGAAGCGGUUCCCUGUGAGUAGGCUCCUUAAUUGGGGCUGAAAGCGCCUACGCAUCAACCAUAUGCAUACGGGACGUCGGUCAAAGUUACUGUGAAUAAACCAGCGUGUCCAAGGCAGGCUUUCGCCUGAAUGUUCGAGCAUGGAAUAACAAGGGAUCGAUUCUCUCGGUUCUUUUUGUUGGUUUUUAACCCGAGAAGGAGAAAUUCAGGCCACGGUGUCUGAGUUGGGUUUCCCAGGGCUUCGGCUCUGGCCCCAAUUAGGCCGUGUCCUUACGGGAUCAAUAGGGACUGACGGGGUCGUACCUACUUCCGCGUCAGAGGUGAGAUUCUUA
Molecule: ribosomal RNA, 456 nt
Filed under: uncultured marine eukaryote
Lineage: Eukaryota
Description: bacterial SSU rRNA
Rfam family: Eukaryotic small subunit ribosomal RNA
Source: RNAcentral